This is a long non-coding RNA of Gadus macrocephalus (Pacific cod), 457 nucleotides long. RefSeq lists it as uncharacterized. The record is from RefSeq and is a predicted model, not a curated record. The transcript is spliced from 2 exons. Lineage: Eukaryota; Metazoa; Chordata; Actinopteri; Gadiformes; Gadidae.
AGAAAUACUUUACCUUUAUUUUACUAAAAUGCCUUUUUAACUUUCCCUUUAUUUUCUAUUUUUACCAGAAAAAUACAUGAUCUGAUACCAGAGAGAAAGGUUGUAUAAGGGUUAGAGUCCUGAGUUUGUUUGUCCUUUUGGUCUGGGCUAGAGUCCUAGAAGCUGGGUUAGAGUCCUAGAAUUUGUUGAAUAAGGCCUUUGGUCUGGGCUAGAGUCCUAGAAGCUGGGUUAGAGUCCUAGAAUAAGUUGAAUAAGGCCUUUGGUCUGGGCUAGAGUCCUAGAAGCUGGGUUAGAGUCCUAGAAUAUUUUCCUUUAGGUCGGUUUGUAGUCCCGACUUGGGUUCCAGAGAGACUGUUGAUCUGAUCUUAAAUACAUUGCACUUUCAAUUUUACUUACUAAAAAGCCUUUUUAACUUUCAAUUUAAUUUUCUCUUAAAUACAUUGCACUUUCUAUUUUA